GGGGAAGUUGGAGCCGUUGGUGAGAUACCACUCUAACAAUGCUAGGAUUCUAACCCUAUACCGUUAUCCGGUUAGGGGACAGUUUCAGGUGGUCAGUUUGACUGGGGCGGUCGCCUCCCAAAAGGUAACGGAGGCGUGCAAAGGUUUCCUCAGGCCGGUCGGAAAUCGGUCGUAGAGUGUAAAGGCAUAAGGAAGCUUGAUUGUGAGACCUAC
This 213-nucleotide ribosomal RNA is filed under the name uncultured eukaryote. Its description in RNAcentral is "partial large subunit ribosomal RNA". It matches the Rfam family "Bacterial large subunit ribosomal RNA", at positions 2173 to 2385 of the family's 2925-position model. The record is from RNAcentral.